This 352-nucleotide ribosomal RNA is filed under the name Shigella flexneri. Its description in RNAcentral is "bacterial SSU rRNA". It matches the Rfam family "Bacterial small subunit ribosomal RNA", at positions 105 to 460 of the family's 1533-position model. The record is from RNAcentral. Lineage: Bacteria; Pseudomonadati; Pseudomonadota; Gammaproteobacteria; Enterobacterales; Enterobacteriaceae.
GGUGAGUAAUGUCUGGGAAACUGCCUGAUGGAGGGGGAUAACUACUGGAAACGGUAGCUAAUACCGCAUAACGUCGCAAGACCAAAGAGGGGGACCUUCGGGCCUCUUGCCAUCGGAUGUGCCCAGAUGGGAUUAGCUAGUAGGUGGGGUAACGGCUCACCUAGGCGACGAUCCCUAGCUGGUCUGAGAGGAUGACCAGCCACACUGGAACUGAGACACGGUCCAGACUCCUACGGGAGGCAGCAGUGGGGAAUAUUGCACAAUGGGCGCAAGCCUGAUGCAGCCAUGCCGCGUGUAUGAAGAAGGCCUUCGGGUUGUAAAGUACUUUCAGCGGGGAGGAAGGGAGUAAAGU